Molecule: long non-coding RNA, 3769 nt
Filed under: Fragaria vesca (wild strawberry)
Lineage: Eukaryota; Viridiplantae; Streptophyta; Magnoliopsida; Rosales; Rosaceae
Description: long non-coding RNA (FVES_LNC001285)
Source: RNAcentral
CGCUUCAGUUCUCGUGCUAUGUUUGUCCAACCAGAUAUGCAAAUUUGCAUCUAUGUACCACACAUUCAAGGCAUUGGUAACAUUAAACCCAAUCUUGUGGCUCUUCCCAUCCAAUAUGUUCCCUAAAAACGGUGUGAUUUCGAUAUCAUAAGAAGGUAGAUCAUAUGAGCCAAUGCCGGUAAUGGGUCUCCAAAGAAGAGGAUUGAUCCCUCCAGUAUAAACCACAGUAAAAGGCCAAACAGCACCAACAAUCACACCAUCUAAACUCACCACAACCUCCCUGAAAGGCCCAUUUCCGGCCGUGCCAGUAAGGUUAUUGGCAGCGAUGUACUCAUUAGUAGGAUUGGCAUACCAAAACUCAUCAUUUUCAUGAAAUGAAACAUACACCUCCAACACAGCCCUAUAAGCAUUCUGAGGAAUCUCAAAUUCCUUCAACUCAGUAUCAGUUGAAUUUUCAAUUUCUAACCACAACCCAUCAGUCAAAGGUAGAUUCCUCGAAAUGGGCAGAAUCAAAUCCGCCCAAGAAUGAUACCCAGAUGCCAAAUCCCCCACAUUUUGAUCAAAACUACGCAAACUCACUUCAGCAGGGUAAAAAUGAAAACUUAUAUUCACAUGGUAAACUCCAGUAUAUGUUGAAUCAAUCAAAUUGCCAAGAUAAACAGCAAGUGUCUGAUUCUUUUGGAGCAACGAAUAGUACCUGGUAAUGUCCUUCUCAACACUCCAGACAAUCCCAUUGGUCCUUGGCUCAGCUGUGCAGCUCCUGAGAAGCUCAACCCCAGAAAGCCAGACCCCAAAAAUGCGAUCAAAUUGUCUUCCUUUGCUUGUAGCUCUCCAUUCAAGAACAAUCUUGGAGAAAUUCUGAGAUGGGCAAUCUGAGGGAGGAGUGUAGUUAGCAAAGACUGGUGGUUUUCCGUAAGUGUAGGCAAAGUCAUGUUGGAGAAUGAGUUGGGAACAAGGCUUGGUUUUGGGUACUGGAAUGGGCUUGGUGACUUCAAAGUAAAGGGUUGGUGGAGUGUCAUUGAGAGAAAUGGUUUGGGAGAUGAGCUCUGAUCUGAGCUGGUUGAGUUUGUGGAUGUUGGCAAUGGAGAAGAGAGGUUGGAGGAGGAGGAAGAAGAGGAGAGGCAACAGAGUAGACAUGACUGGUUGUUGAGUUGUGAUUGCUUUGGGGAGCUGCUUUGUUAUAUCAGCUCCUACAUUGGAUACUUUGUUCUGUUUUAUUUUGUUUGGAGUGGUUAACAAUGCUGAGCUGGGUGAUCCUAAAUUCUUGUAUUCAUUACCUUUGAAGGAAAGUUAACUUCAUUGUAAAUUUUUACUAGUAAAUUUGUAAUUUUCUUUGUAAAAAGUUAAGCUGGGAUAGCUAUUUAUUGCUACUCUGUGGUAUUGACUACUGGGUAGUGAGUACUGACUAUAAUGAAGGGGUAUAGUGGUCCUGGUGUUGGAAAUCAGAUUUGGAAAGAGUUUCCAAAACUAGUGAGAGCUUGAUAUAUGGAAUUUCAUUUGCAUCCUGAAAUUGCUUCUAGUUCCUCUUCAAAGUAACCUAGAGUAAGUACUUGAACCAAAAAUCUGAUGAAGGCUUUAAUUUGGUAAAUUUAGUGGUCUCUACUCUAUAGUGUGUCAAUGGUCUACUCAAAAGCAAACUGUUGUUUUGAUGAGUCUUCCUUUGUUUGGCCUUCUGGUAUAUCUGAAAAGAUUGUCCAUUAUUGUGAAAGAAACUGUAGGCACUUAUGCAUCUGUGUUUUCUUGUCUAUAACACAUUGCUCGAACUUGCAGAAAUAUGAUCCCAAUAGUAGUAUUCUUCAUUUGAUCUCAUCAUUCUUAAGUGUCAAUGUUCUAUGAUUCAUAUGGGCAACGAACUACACUUUGAGUGACUAUGAGUUGCAUGCUUGAUCAUCCCAAGCACAAUACUGCAAUAUUACACAGAAGUUGCACAACAAAAAUUGUUGAUCUAAGAAAUCCAAAUGAAUAUGAAACAUUUAGCACGGAUGAUUAGCAGAUUUAUUCUUUGCAUAUCUUUGCAUUACAUUUAUAUAUUAUAAGUCUAAUGAUUCUCCUGAGUAAUGUAUAUAUAUGGUAUAAGGUUUAAUAGUUGAACUCAAAGAUAAAGAUAGGUUUCAGAUGAUAUUAGAUUUCUGUACCAGGUUCAGAUUAUAUUAAAGCGAUUGAUUAUGCAUAAAAAGUAGCUAGCUCCUACAAUCAAUGGUUUAUAGUUCCUGCAUAAACUUGCAUUAUAUUGAGAUAAGCCAGUUCAUCUGAACCACUGUUCAUAAAUACCAGGUAAAAGAAAACUAGACUGACUUUUAAAUUUCUAAGAACAAUAUCCACAAAUAUAAAAUGGUGUACUCACAUUUCAGUCUGAGGUACUGACAUACAGAUAGAGGCACCCACUUCAAACUCUUAGCAAUUUAGCAUAUGAGUACUUUUAUGUAGAACGAGAAGAUGCAUCAAGAUGAAUAAGCAAAGUUUCAACAUUGUUCUCAAAUAAUUCCAGCACCAAAAGGCCAUAGUCUACUCAAACCAAAAUCCCAAUCAGACUUUGGUUUAUUGUUGCAUGUAUUCACGACCUUAUCAUAAAGUAUGGUGUAGUUUGAGCUGCUUAUAUUCCUAAAGUAACAAGAUUUUCCACCAUGAUAUAUGUACACUUGCUGUGUAUUCCCCACUCCACUAACUACCAAAUGAUCUUUUACAACCAUAUUACCCUCAGCAUUCUGCAAAUUCUUUAGAGAGCUCUUCAAGAAUUGAGAACCAGCGCUCGCGGUUUUCUUCUCAAUAAAUCCCAAACUAAUAUUCGUCACCAAUAAGUAUGAAUUAUUUUUUUGCUCCAAGUAGUCAGUAUACAAGUAAAGGGGAAAUGUCUUGUGUGAUGUGAGUGACUGAACAAUGGAGGAAGGCAGCUUGCUGUGAACGGUGUCAUUGAAAUGGAUGUUCUGGUUCACUAUCUGCACAUUACCAUUACUCCCCAUGACCAUUGUAUUACCGUAGUAAAAUUCCUGAACUGACUGGGUUGUAACAUUCCCAUUAGAUGACUUCACCCACCCAGUCGAUGAGACAGACCUGCUUGUCCUUGUUAUAAAUGUGCCAUUUAAACCCUUGAAAUCCGACACUAGUGAAACAACAAGGGGCAAGCUAGCAUGCUUCACAAGCUGUCCCUCAGUUCUUUUGCUCUGUUUGUCCAACCAAAUAUGCAGAUUUGCAUCUAUGUACCAAACAUUCAAGGCAUUGGUGACAUUAAACCCAAUCUUGUGGCUCUUCCCAUCCAAUAUGUUCCCUAAAAACGGUGUGAUCUCGAUGUCAUAAGAAGGGAGAUUGUAUGAGCCAAUUGCAGUAAUGGGUCUCCACAAGAGAGGAUUGACCCCUCCUGUGAAUAUCACUGUAAAAGGCCAGACAGCACCAACAAUCUGAUCAUCUAUACUGACCACAACCUCCCUAAAAGGUCCAUUUCCAGGCAAGCUAAGGUUGUUUGCAGCAAUGUACUCAUUAGUAGGAUUUGCAUACCAUGAUUCAUCAUUCUCAUGAAAGGAAACAUACACUUCCAACACAGCCCUAUAAGCAUUUUGAGGAAUCACAAAUUCCUUCAACUUAGUAUCAGUCGAAUUCUCAAUUUCAAACCACAACCCAUCAUUCAAAGGCAAAUUUCUCGAAAUGGGCAGAAUCAAAUCCGCCCAAGAAUGAUACCCAGAUGCCAAAUUAUCCACAUUUUGAUCAUAACUAUGCAAACUUGCCUCAGCAGGAUAAAAAUGAAAUCUUAUAUUCACAUGGUAAACCCCAGUAU